CUGCCUGCCCAGUGACAUUAGUUAAACGGCCGCGGUAUCCUGACCGUGCAAAGGUAGCAUAAUCAUUUGUUCUUUAAAUAAGGACUUGUAUGAAUGGCCCCACGAGGGUUUAACUGUCUCUUACUUCCGAUCAGUGAAAUUGACCUUCCCGUGAAGAGGCGGGAAUAAAAUAACAAGACGAGAAGACCCUAUGGAGCUUCAAUUAAUUAACCCAUAAUAACUCACUUAAAUACCAAUAGGCUUAAUAUUACUUUAUUAAUGGGUUAACAAUUUAGGUUGGGGUGACCUCGGAGAACAAAAAAUCCUCCGAGUGAUUUUAGCUUAGACAAACCAGUCAAAGCACUUCAUCAUUUAUUGAUCCAAUAAUUUGAUCAACGGAACAAGUUACCCUAGGGAUAACAGCGCAAUCCUAUUCAAGAGUUCAUAUCAACAAUAGGGUUUACGACCUCGAUGUUGGAUCAGGACAUCCUAAUGGUGCAGCAGCUAUUAAAGGUUCGUUUGUUCAACGAUUAAAGUCCUACGUGAUCUGAGUUCAAACCGGAG
This 543-nucleotide ribosomal RNA is filed under the name Meles meles (Eurasian badger). Its description in RNAcentral is "partial 16S ribosomal RNA". It matches the Rfam family "Bacterial large subunit ribosomal RNA", at positions 1854 to 2621 of the family's 2925-position model. The record is from RNAcentral. Lineage: Eukaryota; Metazoa; Chordata; Mammalia; Carnivora; Mustelidae.